AAGGAACACAGUGUGUGGAACCUCCCCGUGCAAAAAGAUCCCGUACUUGUGCUAAACAUCCGCCUGUACAUUGUCUCUGUCCUUAUGCUGAUGUUCGUGGGUGUGGUGCUCACAAUAAUUAUUGUGGAAACUGCCAGACACCGAGAAGGGUAAUUUCUUAAGUUUUAUCCCUGAAAUUGAAUCUUUUUCUAUUUUUACAAUGAAUUUUAGUUUUUAAGACUGCCUUUUAAUGUGUAAAUUAUUUUUUUUUUUUUUACUAUUCAUUUUACAUUGUGUUAAAUUAAGUUUUAAGAGUUUCAUAAUAAAAAACAAGUUUAACUUUCA
Long non-coding RNA from Penaeus indicus, 324 nucleotides. RefSeq lists it as uncharacterized. The transcript has 2 exons. NCBI's taxonomy places the organism in Eukaryota, Metazoa, Arthropoda, Malacostraca, Decapoda, Penaeidae. The record is from RefSeq and is a predicted model, not a curated record.